This 253-nucleotide ribosomal RNA is filed under the name uncultured bacterium. RNAcentral describes it as "partial 16S ribosomal RNA". It matches the Rfam family "Bacterial small subunit ribosomal RNA", at positions 524 to 776 of the family's 1533-position model. The record is from RNAcentral.
UACGGGGGGGGCAAGCGUUGUUCGGAAUUACUGGGCGUAAAGGGCUCGUAGGCGGCCAACUAAGUCGGACGUGAAAUCCCUCGGCUUAACCGAGGAACUGCGUCCGAUACUGGAUGGCUUGAGUGUGGGAGAGGGAUGCGGAAUUCCAGGUGUAGCGGUGAAAUGCGUAGAUAUCUGGAGGAACACCGGUGGCGAAGGCGGCAUCCUGGACCACGACUGACGCUGAGGCGCGAAAGCUAGGGGAGCAAACAGG